AAAACAUGGCUCCUUGUCUACCUAUAAAUAGGGAGUCUAGCCUGCUCAAUGAUGAUCUAACAAUCAUUAAAUAGCCGCAGUAACCUGACUGCGUGAAAGUAGCAUAAUCAUUUGCCUCUUAAUUGGUGGCUGGUAUGAAUGGUAUUAUGAGAGUAAAACUGUCUCCUUAUUAUUCUAUUGAAAUUACCUAUUAGGUGAAAAGGCCUAAAUAAAUUUAUAAGACAAGAAGACCCUGUCGAGCUUCACAAGCAAAUAAAUAACACUUAUUGUCUUGUUUGGUUGGGGCAACCGGGGGGUAAAAAAACUCCCUCCAAUUCCUACAUUCUUUAAGACAUGACCCAUAAUCUUAUGAGCAAUAGAAAAAGUACCGCAGGGAUAACAGCGUAAUUUUCUUUAUGAGUCCUAAUAAAAAGAAGGUUUGCGACCUCGAUGUUGGAUUAAGGUAUCCUGAAGGUGCAGAAGCUUUCAAGGGUUGGUUUGUUCAACCAUUAAA
Molecule: ribosomal RNA, 493 nt
Filed under: Scutellastra mexicana
Lineage: Eukaryota; Metazoa; Mollusca; Gastropoda; Patellidae
Description: partial 16S ribosomal RNA
Rfam family: Bacterial large subunit ribosomal RNA
Source: RNAcentral